This is a long non-coding RNA of Meriones unguiculatus (Mongolian gerbil), 922 nucleotides long. RefSeq lists it as uncharacterized. The transcript is spliced from 3 exons. NCBI's taxonomy places the organism in Eukaryota, Metazoa, Chordata, Mammalia, Rodentia, Muridae. The record is from RefSeq and is a predicted model, not a curated record.
UUGAGACUGAGAGAGAACUGAAGCUGGGGUCCCUGGACUAACACGGUCUAGUCAGGAUUUCCCGAGCAGCUGCUGACAAGCCCCAAGGGACUGUUCCAGCGUCGCUGAUGCUUGCAUCGGGCGCCGCACACAGAGGCCCCAACAACGGAAAGCAAGUGGUGCUGGGACCCCACAGACCAGUUGAAGGUGGCUUCUUGUGGACCUGCUUUCCCGACUCUGAGGACCCUGGGGACAGUCCUGGGCCUCUGCCCCCAGGUGCAGCCAAAGGAAGCAGAACUCCAUCUGGCCACACUUGUCCUGUGUCACCACCCACCAGAAACCUGCAAUUUCACCUCAUUUAGAGUGAUGGCCAGGGCUUGGAUUGCCUUUGGGGGUUUCAGAAAUAGCUCCCUUGGUAUGGCCUGAGAGGAACUGGUAAAUCAGACCCGGAUGAGAAUGAGCCUAAACAGGAGGGGCGGAUGACCCAGAAGAACGCCUGGAACCAGACUGUCUGACCCAGAGGGCGCCCAAGGGAGCCAACCUCUCAUUUUACCGAACACUCACACGAUUUGCCUGGAAGAGCAAAUAGAACUGAGCUCCUCCCCAGCUGAGCGGAUCCACGGCUCCACCAAAGCCCUGCACUGGGGCUGCCCCAGGGCCUCUGCACUGCCAGCUCCUGUGCCCCCCGGAUCUUUUCUUGAAGCCUCCUCUAAGCCUUCAGGUCUCAUGGCUGAGGUCACUUCUUGCCAGAGGCCAUCCUUGAGCAAGUCCUGGCUGAAGAAGCCUCAUCCCACAUUUUGCCAACGUCCUCCCGUGGACUUGUUGCAGGCCAAGGCUCAUUAUAUAUUUCACAAGAAUUUCUGCUCCCAGACUGGACCAUUUCUGUCCCAUGCACACCUCCGCACAUGCCUCCUAGUGACUGAAUAGAUAUGUCUGAGAUCUU